UAGGGAAUCUUCCACAAUGGACGCAAGUCUGAUGGAGCAACGCCGCGUGAGUGAAGAAGGGUUUCGGCUCGUAAAGACUCUGUUGUUAAAGAAGAACGUGGGUAAGAGUAACUGUUUACCCAGUGACGGUAUUUAACCAGAAAGCCACGGCUAACUACGUGCCAG
RNAcentral lists this ribosomal RNA (165 nucleotides) under uncultured bacterium. Its description in RNAcentral is "partial 16S rRNA". It matches the Rfam family "Bacterial small subunit ribosomal RNA", at positions 355 to 511 of the family's 1533-position model. The record is from RNAcentral.